AGGUGGUGGUAACUACACAACUUCAUCUUGAAUAUGUGUUAUGCAAAUCAAUAACAUGCUUUGAAUGAAAUGGGCAUGAGUUCUAGCAUUUGGAACUAAAUGAUGAAACGCCUUCUAAGUAGUAACCAAGCAAAGAAUAAUGAGAUCAUGCAACGACUUAGAAAACAAAGAAUGCACAGAUUUUAACUCUCCAAAUAAACGUUUAGGCUCAAGUCUCACAAGGUUGUAGCGUUAGUUGGAGUUCCUUCCUUCAAGCAUGUUACAAAAACUAAUUUUUUUCUUUAUGAUUACAUGUGAAUUCAUAAGUUAUAACCACAACCAAGCAUAAACAAAGAGUAAAUCAAACUUUCAUCCAUGUUAAUCAUUCUCUUUAACAGUCAUGCAAUUACAAACCGAAUCCUCAUCAUUGUGUUGGAAGGUACCCUAAGACACAAUUCUUCAAUUUUUUCUGGGAUUUUCGGAUUUUUAGAACAACAUAUACUAAAACACACCAAAAACAACCUAAAAACACUUAAAAACAGCAAGGAAACAACAUUUGAAAUUAUGGGUGAUAAAACCCUACGAAUUUGUAUCAAAACACUCUAAAAACAGCAAGGAACAACAUUUGAAAUUAUGGGUGAUAAAACCCUACGAAUUUGUAUCAAAACACUUUGGUUACCCCCCCACACUUAAAUCAAACAUUGUCCUCAAUGUUUCAAGCAUAAACUAACACAAAUAACAACAAACAAAGAAAACAGCAACUAAACAAUCUAAAUGGCAGAAAAUGAAAUAAACAACAAAGAGAAGGGUUUAGGAACGCAAAUCUGGAAUUGGAGUGCUCUCUAGAUCUUCCUUUGUCGAAUGCAUGGGUUGCCUCCCAAGUAGCGCUUGCUUUAACGUCGUGCAGCCGGACGAUGCCACAUUGAUCAACCUUCAUGGGAACCCACGGCAU
RNAcentral lists this long non-coding RNA (931 nucleotides) under Malus domestica (apple). RNAcentral's name for it is "long non-coding RNA (MDOM_LNC020532)". Lineage: Eukaryota; Viridiplantae; Streptophyta; Magnoliopsida; Rosales; Rosaceae. The record is from RNAcentral.